GAUGAACGCUGGCGGCGUGCUUAACACAUGCAAGUCGAACGGAAAGGCCCAAGCUUGCUUGGGUACUCGAGUGGCGAACGGGUGAGUAACACGUGGGUGAUCUGCCCUGCACUUCGGGAUAAGCCUGGGAAACUGGGUCUAAUACCGGAUAGGACGAUGGUUUGGAUGCCAUUGUGGAAAGUUUUUUCGGUGUGGGAUGAGCUCGCGGCCUAUCAGCUUGUUGGUGGGGUAAUGGCCUACCAAGGCGUCGACGGGUAGCCGGCCUGAGAGGGUGUACGGCCACAUUGUGACUGAGAUACGGCGCAGACGCCUACGGGAGGCAGCAGUGGGGAAUAUUGCACAAUGGGCGCAAGCCUGAUGCAGCGACGCCGCGUGGGGGAUGACGGCCUUCGGGUUGUAAACUCCUUUCGCUAGGGACGAAGCGUUUUUGUGACGGUACCUGGAGAAGAAGCACCGGCUAACUACGUG
RNAcentral lists this ribosomal RNA (468 nucleotides) under uncultured bacterium. Its description in RNAcentral is "partial 16S ribosomal RNA". It matches the Rfam family "Bacterial small subunit ribosomal RNA", at positions 28 to 507 of the family's 1533-position model. The record is from RNAcentral.